ACCCCACCCCCGACCUCACUCCAGUAGAGUCACGCCUCUGAGCCGCCCCCUCUACGCCGCACUGAUUUUGCGCUUUGUCACCGCCCUGUGCAUUCCCUCCUGUUUCCUUUCUGUCUCCACUACACCAGCCUAUUUCUUCCUGAACCUUCCUCCUAGGUUCUGCUGAGAACUCGCUUCCCAGAACUCCGCAAGAAGUAACCACCUCAAAAAGUGCUCGGUCUCCUGGGGGCCACGGUGCAGGAUGGGAUGCCUCAGUUCCCUUGACUGUACACUGGGGGAGGGGGCUGGGGUACUGUUCCCUGUCUUCUUCGCUCCUGUGCUGAGGCCGUAUGUAGAGGCCAGAGGUGGAUGAGGUCAGCUGACAUGUGAUUCUGAUGAAGGACAAAGUACAGCUGGACAUCCACCCCUGACCUAAGAGCGGAGGAUCCGGAUCAGCAGCCGCCAGAGGCCUUCUGACCUCACCCUGUGGUACUUACCCAGGAGGGCAGCAAGUGGCCAUGAACCGCUGCUCUCGGCCAGCUCUACCUCCAGUGUCAGCUCCUGUCCCGACUUUUCACCCCAUCCAGAGUGUCUUCUCCCAAGUCUUCUAUUGUUUUCUCCUCUCCUUUGGGUCCCAGUAUCCUCAAAUACAUUUCCUCAAAACCCCACCUUGCCUGGUCUCCUCUUCUAUUUCUCUACGCAACACCCUUACCACCUCCCAACAUCACAUUGCAUAGCUGCAGAAGGGUUCAAGGCCUCACCAGGAACCAAAGCACCCAGCACCAUCAUUACUUUGGACUUGGCAGGCAUCAGAAUGGUGAGAAAGCAAACACCUGUUGUUUAAGCCAUGGUAUUUUGCCACGGCGAUGCUGUGUGUUCUGCAAGCUUGUCUUCUGCCAGCUGUAUUCCCAGUGUCCAAAAAUUCUGGCUACAUGAUGGAGAAUGGAGGAGAGAGGUCGGCCAAGGAAGAUUGCAUUGGGAGGUAUGGCACCAUGAGGUGUGGAAAUCACUCCAGAGCAGGAAAUGGGCAGCAUUGAUCCACUGUUUAAUCCUUAUCUAGAGAUUUGUGCUACUGUCCCCUGACACCCUCAGGACAGGGCCUGACUCUGACUCCUUCCAUGGUCCCAGAGUCACACACAGGAGCGACUCUGUAAAAAGGUGUGCAUCGAGAAAAUUAAUGGCCUUUGACCCCCAUCUGCUAAUGAGGACACAGCAUUAAGGUUGAAGUGACUGAUUGUGAAUCUGGAGAGCUGAGGUUUGGCUGUUGAGCCUGAGGGGAAGGGUAUGGCCACCAGACAGUGUGUGUGAGCUCUCAAAACCUGGCAGCAAUCUGCUUCUUUCUUCCAGGGAAGUCACACCACUGCCUACACAUCCCCACUGCCAGGCCAGGCUCUUGCCUGAAAUCCUUGCUGCUCUAACACCAUAAUCACCUUCAGGGCUCACAUCCCCCGGGGAAGCCUUCUGAAGAGUUUGGUCAAAGCACUGUGUCUUUAGCCACUACGCAAUCCCUUGCCCACGACCCCGCACACCUGCCUCCAAAGGACCAACAUCAAAUCAAUUCAUUCCAAUUUCUCUGGCAUCCAUUCCAGGACAGGUGCCAGAAUGUAUUUGUUGAAUACAUUUGUUGAAUACAGGACCGUUACUUGGGUUUUCUCAUCAGAAAUACUCAUUGUCCACAUGGGGACUCCUCCAAGUGGUAGGUAUAAGAUGUCUUGCACUGGACAAGCGUGCCACACUUUCCUGGCUUUUCUUAAUAUGGUCUAAGUGAUCAGCACCCAGAUCAAGAAACAGUUGAAAAGCAAGUUGAAUAUGAGUGUGGUUAGUUCAUGUCUUUCAAGUGGGGAGCAAGCUGGCUAGAUGGUGCAUACCUGUCAUCCAUGCACUCAAGAUAAGAGGGUUGUGGGCUGUCUGAGUUCAGUAUUCCGGACCCACAUGAUAGAUGGAGAGAAGCAGCUCUGACUAGUUUUCUUCUGACCUCCACAUGUGUGUUGUGGUGUGUAUGCCCACAUGCAUGAACAUAUAUAUGCAAAAAGAUUGGCUGGACUGUCAGCCUGGGCCAAUAAGACUUAAAAAAAAACUGUCAGAAAGACUUGAUAAUGAUAAAUGCCUUGUUAGUCCUAUGGGGCUCUGCUGGACUCCUAACCCUCUAUAGAACCAUAAGAUAAUAAAUGUGUCUUCUUAGUUGUGUUUAAUAUUAAUUCUUUGUAGCAGAAAAAAACAUAAGAUAUAAAUAACCUGAAUUCUUCUUUGUCUGGCCAGUCUGUUGCCUUUCUAUAGUUCUACUCUUCCAGAACACACCAAAGGGAACCCAAUGGCUCCCAACUGCAGCACCUCAUUCCAUGAAGUUCCUCGGGCCCUGGAACAGUGAAGCCAAGUUUAGUGCAACUGGAAACCAACCAUGAGUCACUCUUUAAUGGCAAUAGAAACCCUGAGUGACCUCUUGAUGACCUACACCACAUCAGAUCCUCUGCUGGACCCUUAAGCUGUAGAACCUAUCCUGUGGAAGAGGUCACACAUACUUUGCAAAGGACUUGAUGUAGCCACACCUUAAGCUUUAUUGAGAUAAUUGUUACCGGGAAACUUUCCCCCCAGAUUGUCCUAUCCUUAAACAUGCUUGCAAUAAAUAGCUCAGGGUCAGACUUUAGAAAUUUAAAACAA
Molecule: non-coding RNA, 2637 nt
Organism: Cricetulus griseus (Chinese hamster)
Lineage: Eukaryota; Metazoa; Chordata; Mammalia; Rodentia; Cricetidae
Source: RefSeq, a predicted model, not a curated record